GAAUUUUGGGCAAUGGGCGAAAGCCUGACCCAGCAACGCCGCGUGAAGGAUGAAAUCCCUCGGGAUGUAAACUUCGCAAGAACGGGAAGAAUAAGACGGUGCCAACACCACCGGCGAUGCCGGUACUGUUUGUACGCUCCGGCCAACUCCGUGCCAUCAGCCGCGGUAAUACGGGGGGAGCAAGCGUGGUUCGGAUUUACUGGGCGUAAAGGGCGCGUAGGCGGCCACCGCAAGUCGACUGUGAAAUCUCCGGGCUUAACCCGGAACGGUCAGCCGAUACUGCGGGGCUAGAGUGCAGAAGGGGCAACUGGAAUUCUCGGUGUAGCGGUGAAAUGCGUAGAUAUCGAGAGGAACACCUGCGGCGAAGGCGGGUUGCUGGGCUGACACUGACGCUGAGGCGCGAAAGCUAGGGGAGCGAACGGG
Molecule: ribosomal RNA, 423 nt
Filed under: uncultured bacterium
Lineage: Bacteria
Description: bacterial SSU rRNA
Rfam family: Bacterial small subunit ribosomal RNA
Source: RNAcentral